Non-coding RNA from Phthorimaea operculella (potato tuberworm), 72 nucleotides. Lineage: Eukaryota; Metazoa; Arthropoda; Insecta; Lepidoptera; Gelechiidae. The record is from the annotation of a GenBank genome assembly.
GCGCACGUAGCUCAGUUGGCAGAGCGGUGGAAUGGUGAUCCACAGUCCCGGGUUCAAGUACCGGCGGUCGCC